RNAcentral lists this ribosomal RNA (474 nucleotides) under Elizabethkingia sp. YC45B. Its description in RNAcentral is "bacterial SSU rRNA". It matches the Rfam family "Bacterial small subunit ribosomal RNA", at positions 35 to 514 of the family's 1533-position model. Lineage: Bacteria; Pseudomonadati; Bacteroidota; Flavobacteriia; Flavobacteriales; Weeksellaceae. The record is from RNAcentral.
GGCGGCGGUGGCUACCAUGCAGCCGAGCGGUAGAGAUUCUUCGGAAUCUUGAGAGCGGCGUACGGGUGCGGAACACGUGUGCAACCUGCCUUUAUCAAGGGGAUAGCCUUUCGAAAGGAAGAUUAAUACCCUAUAAUAUAUGAUUCGGCAUCGGAUUAUAUUGAAAACUACGGUGGAUAAAGAUGGGCACGCGCAAGAUUAGCUAGUUGGUGAGGUAACGGCUCACCAAGGCGACGAUCUUUAGGGGGCCUGAGAGGGUGAUCCCCCACACUGGUACUGAGACACGGACCAGACUCCUACGGGAGGCAGCAGUGAGGAAUAUUGGACAAUGGGUGGAAGCCUGAUCCAGCCAUCCCGCGUGUAGGAAGACGGCCCUAUGGGUUGUAAACUACUUUUAUCUGGGGAUAAACCUACUUACGUGUAAGUAGCUGAAGGUACCAGAUGAAUAAGCACCGGCUAACUCCGUGCCAGACC